GACGAACGCUGGCGGCGUGGAUUAGGCAUGCAAGUCGAACGGUAUCAUCCUUUCGGGGGUGAGAGAGUGGCGAACUGGUGAGUAACACGUAGGUUAUCUACCCUCAAGACGGGGACAACCCAGGGAAACUUGGGCUAAUACCGGAUGUGAGCAACUUUUAGUUGUUUGAAAGGUGGCGUAAGCUGUCGCUUGGGGAUGAGCCUGCGUCCUAUUAGUUAGUUGGUGAGGUAACGGCUCACCUAGGCAAUGAUAGGUAGGCGGCCUUAACGGGUGGUCGCCCACACUGGGAUUGAGAUACGGCCCAGACUCCUACGGGAGGCAGCAGUCGAGAAUAGUCUACAAUGGUCGGAAGACUGAUAGUGCGACGCCGCGUGAACGAUGAAUCCCUUCGGGGUGUAAAGUUCUUUUAUAUGUGAGCAGUGCUUUCUUAUAUUAACAGUAUGGGGAGAGAGAUAUUAGCAUAUGAAUAAGCAACGGCUAACUCCGUGCCAGCAGCCGCGGUAAACUCG
Molecule: ribosomal RNA, 509 nt
Filed under: uncultured bacterium
Lineage: Bacteria
Description: bacterial SSU rRNA
Rfam family: Bacterial small subunit ribosomal RNA
Source: RNAcentral